This 497-nucleotide ribosomal RNA is filed under the name uncultured bacterium. RNAcentral describes it as "partial 16S ribosomal RNA". It matches the Rfam family "Bacterial small subunit ribosomal RNA", at positions 28 to 507 of the family's 1533-position model. The record is from RNAcentral.
GAUGAACGCUGGCGGCGUGCCUAAUACAUGCAAGUCGAGCGAACGGAUGAGAAGCUUGCUUCUCUGAUGUUAGCGGCGGACGGGUGAGUAACACGUGGAUAACCUACCUAUAAGACUGGGAUAACUUCGGGAAACCGGAGCUAAUACCGGAUAAUAUUUUGAACCGCAUGGUUCAAAAGUGAAAGACGGUCUUGCUGUCACUUAUAGAUGGAUCCGCGCUGCAUUAGCUAGUUGGUAAGGUAACGGCUUACCAAGGCAACGAUGCAUAGCCGACCUGAGAGGGUGAUCGGCCACACUGGAAGUGAGACACGGUCCAGACUCCUACGGGAGGCAGCAGUAGGGAAUCCUCCGCAAAGGGCGAAAGCCUGACGGAGCAACGCCGCGUGAGUGAUGAAGGUCUUCGGAUCGUAAAACUCUGUUAUUAGGGAAGAACAUAUGUGUAAGUAACUGUGCACAUCUUGACGGUACCUAAUCAGAAAGCCACGGCUAACUACGUG